Molecule: ribosomal RNA, 279 nt
Filed under: uncultured bacterium
Lineage: Bacteria
Description: partial 16S ribosomal RNA
Rfam family: Bacterial small subunit ribosomal RNA
Source: RNAcentral
UGCCAGCCGCCGCGGUAAUACGGAGGGUGCAAACGUUGUUCGGAAUCACUGGGCAUAAAGAGCACGUAGGCGGUCUAUUUAGUCGGAUGUGAAAGCCCUCGGCUCAACCGGGGAAUUGCAUUCGAUACUGAUAGACUCGAGGAUGGUUGGGGUAAGUGGAACUCCUGGUGGAGCGGUGAAAUGCGUAGAUAUCAGGAGGAACACCAGUGGCGAAAGCGGCUUACUGGACCAUUUCUGACGCUGAGGUGCGAAAGCUAGGGUAGCGAACGGGAUUAGAUA